This 174-nucleotide small nuclear RNA is filed under the name Salvator merianae (Argentine black and white tegu). RNAcentral describes it as "U2 spliceosomal RNA (ENSSMRG00000019412.1)". The stretch from base 1 to 117 matches the Rfam family "U2 spliceosomal RNA". From Rfam's summary of the family: U2 is a small nuclear RNA (snRNA) component of the spliceosome (involved in pre-mRNA splicing). Complementary binding between U2 snRNA (in an area lying towards the 5' end but 3' to hairpin I) and the branchpoint sequence (BPS) of the intron results the bulging out of an unpaired adenosine, on the BPS, which initiates a nucleophilic attack at the intronic 5' splice site, thus starting the first of two transesterification reactions that mediate splicing. Lineage: Eukaryota; Metazoa; Chordata; Lepidosauria; Squamata; Teiidae. The record is from RNAcentral.
UCGGCNUCUUGNCCUUUUGGCUAAGAUCAAGUGUAGCAUCUGUUCUUAUCAGUUUAAUAUCUGAUAUGUCCUCUAUCUGAGGACUUUUAAAUGGAUUUUUUGGAACUGGGAAUUUAUAAAAAAAAACCAACAAAAAACUGAGGGUCAGGAUUGUCUUCUCUAGUAUUAGUCAGC